Molecule: ribosomal RNA, 500 nt
Filed under: uncultured bacterium
Lineage: Bacteria
Description: partial 16S ribosomal RNA
Rfam family: Bacterial small subunit ribosomal RNA
Source: RNAcentral
AUUGAACGCUGGCGGCAUGCUUUACACAUGCAAGUCGAACGGUAGCAGGGUGCUUGCACCGCUGACGAGUGGCGAACGGGUGAGUAAUGCGUCGGGACGCACCGAGUAAUGGGGGAUAACGCAGCGAAAGCUGUGCUAAUACCGCAUACGCUCUGAGGAGGAAAGCGGGGGACCUUCGGGCCUCGCGUUAUUCGAGCGGCCGACGUCUGAUUAGCUAGUAGGUGAGGUAAGAGCUCACCUAGGCGACGAUCAGUAGCGGGUCUGAGAGGAUGACCCGCCACACUGGGACUGAGACACGGCCCAGACUCCUACGGGAGGCAGCAGUGGGGAAUUUUGGACAAUGGGCGAAAGCCUGAUCCAGCCAUGCCGCGUGUCUGAAGAAGGCCUUCGGGUUGUAAAGGACUUUUGUCAGGGAGGAAAUCCCUAGCGUUAAUACCGCUGGGGGAUGACAGUACCUGAAGAAUAAGCACCGGCUAACUCCGUGCCAGCCGCCGCGGUAA